RNAcentral lists this ribosomal RNA (253 nucleotides) under uncultured bacterium. RNAcentral describes it as "partial 16S ribosomal RNA". It matches the Rfam family "Bacterial small subunit ribosomal RNA", at positions 524 to 776 of the family's 1533-position model. The record is from RNAcentral.
UACAGAGGUGGCAAGCGUUGUUCGGAAUUACUGGGCGUAAAGGGCGCGUAGGCGGCCUUCUUAGUCGGACGUGAAAUCCCCAGGCUCAACUUGGGAACUGCGUCCGAUACUGGAUGGCUUGAGUGCGGGAGCGGGAUGUGGAAUUCCAGGUGUAGCGGUGAAAUGCGUAGAUAUCUGGAGGAACACCGGUGGCGAAGGCGGCAUCCUGGACCGACACUGACGCUGAGGCGCGAAAGCUAGGGGAGCAAACGGG